GAUGAACGCUGGCGGCGUGCCUAAUACAUGCAAGUCGAGCGAACAGACGAGGAGCUUGCUCCUCUGACGUUAGCGGCGGACGGGUGAGUAACACGUGGAUAACCUACCUAUAAGACUGGGAUAACUUCGGGAAACCGGAGCUAAUACCGGAUAAUAUAUUGAACCGCAUGGUUCAAUAGUGAAAGACGGUUUUGCUGUCACUUAUAGAUGGAUCCGCGCCGCAUUAGCUAGUUGGUAAGGUAACGGCUUACCAAGGCAACGAUGCGUAGCCGACCUGAGAGGGGGAUCGGCCACACUGGAACUGAGACACGGCCCAGACUCCGACGGGAGGCAGCAGUAGGGAAUCGUCCGCAAGGGGCGAAAGCCUGAGGGAGCAAGGCCGCGGGAGUGAUGAAGGUCUUCGGAUCGUAAAACUCUGUUAUUAGGGAAGAACAAAUGUGUAAGUAACUAUGCACGUCUGGACGGUACCUAAUCAGAAAGCCACGGCUAACUACGU
RNAcentral lists this ribosomal RNA (496 nucleotides) under uncultured bacterium. RNAcentral's name for it is "partial 16S ribosomal RNA". It matches the Rfam family "Bacterial small subunit ribosomal RNA", at positions 28 to 506 of the family's 1533-position model. The record is from RNAcentral.